This is a non-coding RNA of Pelobates cultripes (western spadefoot toad), 201 nucleotides long. Lineage: Eukaryota; Metazoa; Chordata; Amphibia; Anura; Pelobatidae. The record is from the annotation of a GenBank genome assembly.
UGAAGGUAAGGGAAAACUGCGAAGAAACAUUGUCAUACAUACCAUUUGGUUUUAUCAACAAUUCCUGUACAUAUUGUUCUUGUAUUAGCUGUAAAUCCCCAGACAUUAUAACAAGCGGUUCCCUGGCCCAGGGUGUGGGAAAAGGUCAUCCCAUCAAAAUCUCAAAUGGAGAUAAUUUAGUCACCUUGUGGGGAUUCAUUC